RNAcentral lists this ribosomal RNA (549 nucleotides) under uncultured bacterium. RNAcentral describes it as "bacterial SSU rRNA". It matches the Rfam family "Bacterial small subunit ribosomal RNA", at positions 355 to 896 of the family's 1533-position model. The record is from RNAcentral.
UGGGGAAUUUUGGACAAUGGGCGCAAGCCUGAUCCAGCCAUGCCGCGUGUCUGAAGAAGGCCUUCGGGUUGUAAAGGACUUUUGUCAGGGAAGAAAAGGCUGUUGCUAAUAUCGACAGCUGAUGACGGUACCUGAGGAAUAAGCACCGGCUAACUACGUGCCAGCAGCCGCGGUAAUACGUAGGGUGCGAGCGUUAAUCGGAAUUACUGGGCGUAAAGCGAGCGCAGACGGUUACUUAAGCAGGAUGUGAAAUCCCCGGGCUCAACCUGGGAACUGCGUUCUGAACUGGGUGACUAGAGUGUGUCAGAGGGAGGUAGAAUUCCACGUGUAGCAGUGAAAUGCGUAGAGAUGUGGAGGAAUACCGAUGGCGAAGGCAGCCUCCUGGGAUAACACUGACGUUCAUGCUCGAAAGCGUGGGUAGCAAACAGGAUUAGAUACCCUGGUAGUCCACGCCCUAAACGAUGUCAAUUAGCUGUUGGGCAACUUGAUUGCUUAGUAGCGUAGCUAACGCGUGAAAUUGACCGCCUGGGGAGUACGGUCGCAAGAUUA